AUACGUAGGUGGCGAGCGUUGUCCGGAAUUAUUGGGCGUAAAGAGCAUGUAGGCGGCUUAAUAAGUCGAGCGUGAAAAUGCGGGGCUCAACCCCGUAUGGCGCUGGAAACUGUUAGGCUUGAGUGCAGGAGAGGAAAGGGGAAUUCCCAGUGUAGCGGGGAAAUGCGUAGAUAUUGGGAGGAACACCAGUGGCGAAGGCGCCUUUCUGGACUGUGUCUGACGCUGAGAUGCGAAAGCCAGGGUAGCGAACGGGAUUAGAUACCCCGGUAGUCCUGGCCGUAAACGAUGGGUACUAGGUGUAGGAGGUAUCGACCCCUUCUGUGCCGGAGUUAACGCAAUAAGUACCCCGCCUGGGGAGUACGGCCGCAAGGUUGAAACUUAAAGGAAUUGACGGGG
RNAcentral lists this ribosomal RNA (396 nucleotides) under uncultured bacterium. RNAcentral describes it as "partial 16S ribosomal RNA". It matches the Rfam family "Bacterial small subunit ribosomal RNA", at positions 523 to 918 of the family's 1533-position model. The record is from RNAcentral.